RNAcentral lists this ribosomal RNA (253 nucleotides) under uncultured bacterium. RNAcentral's name for it is "partial 16S ribosomal RNA". It matches the Rfam family "Bacterial small subunit ribosomal RNA", at positions 524 to 776 of the family's 1533-position model. The record is from RNAcentral.
UACGGGGGGAGCAAGCGUUGUUCGGAUUUACUGGGCGUAAAGCGCACGUAGGCGGAUAUUUAAGUCGGGGGUGAAAUCCCGGGGCUCAACCCCGGAACUGCCUUCGAUACUGGGUAUCUUGAGUUCGGAAGAGGUGAGUGGAAUUGCGAGUGUAGAGGUGAAAUUCGUAGAUAUUCGCAGGAACACCAGUGGCGAAGGCGGCUCACUGGUCCGAUACUGACGCUGAGGUGCGAAAGCGUGGGGAGCAAACAGG